UGAGAGACAAGCUCAAAUAUUCUCCGAGGAGUGCAAAUUUUUCCCUGAUGAUAUAUAAAUUCAGUCCGUAUAUCCAUUGCCUGAUGUUUCUGAAUUGGAAAAAAAACUUUCUGAACAAUCAAAGAUACUCUUAAGUCUUCAACAGAAGGUUGACGAUUUGGCAUCAAAGUGUUAGAGUUAGAAAUGGCAGCGAGACAAAUGGAAGAGAUACAGAGGAAGCUGGUGAUGCUGAAUUGAUCGAGAGCCAAGUCUCUCCUCUUUGCCGGCAUGGAACACUAUGCUCUUCUCGAAUGGCUGUUCUUCCGCUUGUUGGGGGACAAGUCACCCUUUUCCCAACAGAGUCUUCAAGGGGACGCCAUGGAUCGUGACGAAGAGACCGCUUGCAUCCAAUGUAGGGCUUCUUUUCUAGAAUUUUGAAUUGGGUCGUGCUUAAGUUGUUCACAAUGUGAUGAAAAUUAACCCGGGUGUGUUUAGAUCAUCAAAUGUAGGCUAUAUACAUGGUGGAAAACAUGAGAUUCUCCCCCUGCUGUGUUCUUUUUGUUUUGUUUUUCACACUGCAAGAUUUGAUUUUUGAAUUCCAUGAAAUGGUGUGGAUUUGGGUGGAUGUGGUUGGGGUGUGGCUCAGAGAUGAGGAUCGAGGAUAGUUGGGGCGAUCGGGGAGGGUACGGAAUGCUUAGGGAGACAACCAAGGAAGGCAGGAGGAAGAGACGUAUAUUAAUAACCUCAUAACCCCUAUAAUUCAAAUGGUAUUUGUACAAAAUUCUGAAACAUAAUGCUUCUGUCUAAAAGAUUCACUCAGACCUUGAAAACCGGGGAAAAAAAAA
This is a non-coding RNA of Prunus mume (Japanese apricot), 824 nucleotides long. The record is from RefSeq and is a predicted model, not a curated record. NCBI's taxonomy places the organism in Eukaryota, Viridiplantae, Streptophyta, Magnoliopsida, Rosales, Rosaceae.